Molecule: ribosomal RNA, 465 nt
Filed under: uncultured bacterium
Lineage: Bacteria
Description: bacterial SSU rRNA
Rfam family: Bacterial small subunit ribosomal RNA
Source: RNAcentral
CGGGAGGCAGCAGUGGGGGAUAUUGCACAAUGGGGGAAACCCUGAUGCAGCGACGCCGCGUGGAGGAAGAAGGUUUUCGGAUUGUAAACUCCUGUCGUUAGGGACGAAUCAUGACGGUACCUAACAAGAAAGCACCGGCUAACUACGUGCCAGCAGCCGCGGUAAAACGUAGGGUGCAAGCGUUGUCCGGAAUUACUGGGUGUAAAGGGAGCGCAGGCGGACCGGCAAGUUGGAAGUGAAAACCAUGGGCUCAACCCAUGAAUUGCUUUCAAAACUGCUGGCCUUGAGUAGUGCAGAGGUAGGUGGAAUUCCCGGUGUAGCGGUGGAAUGCGUAGAUAUCGGGAGGAACACCAGUGGCGAAGGCGACCUACUGGGCACCAACUGACGCUGAGGCUCGAAAGCAUGGGUAGCAAACAGGAUUAGAUACCCUGGUAGUCCAUGCCGUAAACGAUGAUUACUAGGUGU